AGGCACCCGAGAUGUUGGAACGGUUCAAACUGAUCAUAGCUUCAAUCACUAUGCCUUGAUUCUGUGCUCUGAUUGAGCCGCGCCAAUAUCGCGUGCCUUUUC
Cajanus cajan (pigeon pea) is the source of this 102-nucleotide non-coding RNA. The record is from Rfam. NCBI's taxonomy places the organism in Eukaryota, Viridiplantae, Streptophyta, Magnoliopsida, Fabales, Fabaceae.